CAAAUCUCUCAUUGACCUGAAGUCCUUGCAACGAAUUGCAUAUAUUAAAUGGACUUCCAGUAUCUAAUACCCAGGUCGAAUUAUCACAUAGAGAAAUUACAAGGUGUUAUCAUAUCAAUACCUUGAUCAGCAACUGAUUGCUCUUUUCUCUUGCUUGGCCUGUUCGGGUCAAGUGAGGUAAGGUACUGAGGAUAAUUUCUCUUCCAAUGCCCCUGCUUCUUACAAUAGAAGCAUUCUGC
Molecule: long non-coding RNA, 239 nt
Filed under: Phoenix dactylifera (date palm)
Lineage: Eukaryota; Viridiplantae; Streptophyta; Magnoliopsida; Arecales; Arecaceae
Description: long non-coding RNA (PDAC_LNC017983)
Source: RNAcentral